Long non-coding RNA from Ahaetulla prasina, 2097 nucleotides. RefSeq lists it as uncharacterized. The transcript has 3 exons. The record is from RefSeq and is a predicted model, not a curated record. Lineage: Eukaryota; Metazoa; Chordata; Lepidosauria; Squamata; Colubridae.
GGUCUUCUCUUUGCAGGAAUCAGCAGGAAUCGACGAAGAGUUGUCGAAUAUGACACGGGACAGCCAGGUUUGUGACUUUGGGCCCGGAACCAAGAGAAGGUAAUUUUUUGUGGAAUCUUAUAAAAAAAAACAGCUUCGUAAUUGUCGGUACACGCUGGGAGCUCAUCCUUGCAGGUGGGGGGAGGGGGAGGAUUUUUCACACAAUUCCUUUUGCCCAAUUUUUAUAUUUUCUUAAGAAAUGAGCAGAAUUUUCUCUCCCUCUGACCUUGUGAAACGCCUGCAGUUUCUCUGAGUAUCUGUGGAUUAUCUUGCUAGGUGCAAAGGGGUUGUGAAGUUAGGAUAAUCGACGGUCGGUGAGCUCUGAUUGUUCAAUACUCAUGAUGGGCAGCUGUGUCACUUUGGGACAAACAACCGAGAGACGGUGACUUCCUUUCCUGCAAGAUGCACGGCCUGGUGAGUUUUGAUCCUGGAAUCCUCAUGAGAGACGGCUGUGUCACUUUGGACCUAGCACUAGGAGAUGCCCUAGGAAGGAGGCAAUGGCAAACCAGUUCUCCAAAACCUCUCCAAGAAAAGAGACCGGACUUGUUCAGACAGUCUCCGUGAAUUGAACGGAAGGAAAAAAGAGCAACGUAUGACGAAGAAGGAAGCCCCCCACCAGCGCAUUGCGUCCUGGUUAAAGACCACGAUGAGGCUGGACAAAGGCCCUCUCGGCCCCCACGCAGACCAGUGUCCUGUCAGAUCCAUCACCUUCGGCUUGGCGCCUCACAGUCUGCCAUGAACCGCAGAAAGGGAGUUGGGAACAAAUGGGCCAUAGAGGUGUGUGUCUUUACGAUGGGAAAUUGGGAGCAGGGGAUUGACAGGUGAGGAAGAACAGAGCGGUUUGGAAUCCAGCCUAUGCCAGCAUCUUCAAGGCCGCAAAACCUGAAAGCGGAAUUUCACCUCAGCUUAAACACCUCAGCGCUUCCCAAAACAUCCCAGCCCUUGGAUGGACUAUGGGGGGAGGGUUGGGGGAACCAAGCAGUUAAUGCUGAAUUGACGCGCUGGAAGUUCAGAUUCUGCAUGACUCUCCUGCGAUGAGCGUCUGUCAGUAAACGUGCCUUUCACUUCAACCAAAGGGAGUCGAGGGUUUUACUUCCUUGGGUGAUCAGACUGGGGCAGGACUGACAGUCCCCCCCUCCCUCCAUUGCGUGAUCUGAAGUCAACGACUGAAGAGGGACCCAAACCAUUUCACCCGGCAACUGCUGAAUGAGCCACAAGUCCUCUGCUGUGUCAACCAACAACUCAUGAAUCCAGACCGAAGUAAUCUGGGCAUGCUGGCUGGGAAUUCUGGGAGUUGAAGUCCCCACAUCUCAAAGUCGCCAAGUUGGAGAAACACCGAUUUAGAGGCUCCCUGACUCCAGAUGGCUGCGGGCAGCUGACUUUCCCCAACAGACCCGUCAAAACAAAAAUAAAUGAAAAUAAAUGGACCAUGAGCAUCUAGGAGACCCUCUGAACACACGGCAACCCAUGAGGGCAUCUCUUGUCACCAGUCCCAACAACCUGGCACCACAUCCAACUUCGGCACACGGAAGAAGUCUACCUGGAUUCGACUCGAUUUGCUUCAUAAUUUAUUCCUAAUAAAUGUCACAAGACAAAUAAUAACAGUUAUUCUUGAGCCCCCUUCAUUCCGGCUGCCAUCCACCCACUGGGCACACCUUGAAGUUUCACAGUUCUCCCUUCUCUAUUUGAGCUUCCUCUUGCGUUCCACACUGGGUCUGACUGCUCGCUGUCUCCAAUUUCAUAGAGGAUGGUGCACAGUUUGUCCGAACCCCAAUUCUUCAGAUUCGGGGGGGGGGGGUCCCUCUCCUUCCCUGCCUUGGCCCCCAGGGUGCCCUGCUAGUUUCUCACCUCGCUCAGGAAGUGCUCCAGUUCGUGUUCCACGCAGACCAGCUGGUGGGUGAAAUCCUGAAGGGCAGGGUUGGUGCCCAGAGGGCUGGAUUCGAACUCAGGAUGGGCCGGGAUGAGCACCUGAGAUUGGUAGCCCCAUCUUCUUCUGGCCAUCUGGACCUCCUGCACCAGUGAAGGAGAAUGAGGGGGGAGACCUGUGUUAAUUAACCA